GGAGGAUCCGAGCGUUAUCCGGAUUUAUUGGGUUUAAAGGGAGCGUAGGUGGACUGGUAAGUCAGUUGUGAAAGUUUGCGGCUCAACCGUAAAAUUGCAGUUGAUACUGUCAGUCUUGAGUACAGUAGAGGUGGGCGGAAUUCGUGGUGUAGCGGUGAAAUGCUUAGAUAUCACGAAGAACUCCGAUUGCGAAGGCAGCGCACUGGACUGCAACUGACACUGAUGCUCGAAAGUGUGGGUAUCAAACAGGAUUAGAUACCCUAGUAGUCCACACAGUAAACGAUGAAUACUCGCUGUUUGCGAUAUACAGUAAGCGGCCAAGCGAAAGCAUUAAGUAUUCCACCUGGGGAGUACGCCGGCAACGGUGAAACUCAAAGGAAUUGACGG
This 387-nucleotide ribosomal RNA is filed under the name uncultured bacterium. Its description in RNAcentral is "bacterial SSU rRNA". It matches the Rfam family "Bacterial small subunit ribosomal RNA", at positions 527 to 916 of the family's 1533-position model. The record is from RNAcentral.